CCGCUGAACUUAAGCAUAUCAUUAAGCGGAGGAAAAGAAACUAACAAGGAUUCCCCUAGUACGGGCGACGGAAGCGGGAAAAGCCCACAGUGGUAAUCUCCGUCCUUCGGGCGGCGAAUUGUGAUCUGAAGGCAGGUAGCCGAACCGAAUGUCCAGACGCAGAAGUGCCGCCGAGGCGGCCGCCAAAGAGGGUGAGAGCCCCGUCUGCGGUGUUUGGAUGAGGUAAGGUUGCAGGUCAAAGAGUCGUGUACUUUGAUACUAGUGCACAAAGCGGGAGAUAAACUUCUUCUAAGGCUAAAUAAACGUAGGAGACCGAUAGCGAACAAGUACUGUGANGGAAAGAUGAAAAGCACUUUGGAAAGAGCGUCAAAAGACUUGAAAUCGUUGAGGCGGACCCGGUAGAAAUGAAUUAUGGGGCUGGACACGGGCGGGUCUGCGAAAGCGGGCAAGUUUGUGGACGGCAGCAAGACAAGAUGAAGUGGUCGGAUGUCAGAGGCAGUGUGUGAAGCCUUUCGGGGCGGUGCAUGCAGGCCGGGCGUCGGGCGGCUUGAGGGGCUUUGUGCGAUCUUGUCAAAAUGGUUUUUACCGACUCGUCUUGAAACACGAACCAAGGAGUCUAAGACUCACGCGAGUGUGGUGGUGGAGAAACCAACACGCGAAAUGAAAGUGAUUGAUGCCAAGCGUGCGCAGCANCGACGGACUUUCGUCUAUAGGCGGAGGUUUGAGUAAGAGCGUGAUUCUAAGGA
RNAcentral lists this ribosomal RNA (746 nucleotides) under Eutintinnus perminutus. RNAcentral describes it as "LSU rRNA". It matches the Rfam family "Eukaryotic large subunit ribosomal RNA", at positions 25 to 814 of the family's 3401-position model. Lineage: Eukaryota; Ciliophora; Spirotrichea; Tintinnida; Tintinnidae. The record is from RNAcentral.